CCUACGGGUGGCUGCAGUGGGGAAUCUUGCGCAAUGGGCGAAAGCCUGACGCAGCGACGCCGCGUGCGGGAAGAAGGCCUUAGGGUUGUAAACCGCUUUCAGGAGGGACGAAGCCACUCGGGUGAAUAGCCCAGAGGGUGACGGUACCUCCAGAAGAAGCCCCGGCUAACUACGUGCCAGCAGCCGCGGUAAUACGUAGGGGGCAAGAGUUGUCCGGAUUUGCUGGGCGUAAGGAAGGUAGAGGGGGUGUGAAAACUGGAGGCGCAACCUUCAGACGUCGACCGAAACCCCCUGGCUAGAGUCCGGGAGAGGAGAGUGGAAUGCCUGGUGUAGCGGUGGAAUGCGCAGAUAUCAGGAAGAACACCCGUGGCGAAAGCGGCUCUCUGGAACGGUACUGACGCUGAGACGCGAAAGCGUGGGGAGCGAACAGGAUUAGAUACCCUAGUAGUC
This 450-nucleotide ribosomal RNA is filed under the name uncultured bacterium. RNAcentral describes it as "partial 16S ribosomal RNA". It matches the Rfam family "Bacterial small subunit ribosomal RNA", at positions 338 to 795 of the family's 1533-position model. The record is from RNAcentral.